UCGAGAAUCUUUCGCAAUGCCCGAAGGGUGACGAAGCGACGCCGCGUGUGGGAUGAAGGCCUUCGGGUUGUAAACCACUGUCGGGAGUUAAGAAUUGUAGGAAUGCUAAUAGUAUUUCUACUUGACUAAGGCUCCGGAGGAAGCCACGGCUAACUCUGUG
RNAcentral lists this ribosomal RNA (160 nucleotides) under bacterium enrichment culture DGGE band AuD17. Its description in RNAcentral is "partial 16S ribosomal RNA". It matches the Rfam family "Bacterial small subunit ribosomal RNA", at positions 355 to 507 of the family's 1533-position model. The record is from RNAcentral.